This 492-nucleotide ribosomal RNA is filed under the name uncultured bacterium. Its description in RNAcentral is "partial 16S ribosomal RNA". It matches the Rfam family "Bacterial small subunit ribosomal RNA", at positions 29 to 507 of the family's 1533-position model. The record is from RNAcentral.
AGUGAACGCUGGCGGUAGGCCUAACACAUGCAAGUCGAACGGCGGCACAGUAAGAGCUUGCUCUUACGGGUGGCGAGUGGCGGACGGGUGAGGAAUACAUCGGAAUCUACUUUUUCGUGGGGGAUAACGUAGGGAAACUUACGCUAAUACCGCAUACGACCUACGGGUGAAAGCAGGGGAUCUUCGGACCUUGCGCGAUUGAAUGGGCCGAUGUCGGAUUAGCUAGUUGGCGGGGUAAAGGCCCACCAAGGCGACGAUCCGUAGCUGGUCUGAGAGGAUGAUCAGCCACACUGGAACUGAGACACGGUCCAGACUCCUACGGGAGGCAGCAGUGGGGAAUAUUGGACAAUGGGCGCAAGCCUGAUCCAGCCAUACCGCGUGGGUGAAGAAGGCCUUCGGGUUGUAAAGCCCUUUUGUUGGGAAAGAAAAGCAGCAGGUUAAUACCCCGCUGUUCUGACGGUACCCAAAGAAUAAGCACCGGCUAACUUCGUG